Molecule: ribosomal RNA, 446 nt
Filed under: uncultured bacterium
Lineage: Bacteria
Description: bacterial SSU rRNA
Rfam family: Bacterial small subunit ribosomal RNA
Source: RNAcentral
CCCUACGGGGGGCAGCAGUGGGGAAUUUUCCGCAAUGGGCGAAAGCCUGACGGAGCAAGACCGCGUGAGGGAGGAAGGCUCUUGGGUUGUAAACCUCUUUUCUCUGGGAAGAACAAAAUGACGGUACCAGAGGAAUCAGCAUCGGCUAACUCCGUGCCAGCAGCCGCGGUAAGACGGAGGAUGCAAGCGUUAUCCGGAAUGAUUGGGCGUAAAGCGUCCGCAGGUGGCAAUUCAAGUCUGCUGUUAAAGCGCAGGGCUUAACCCUGUAAAGGCAGUGGAAACUGAAUAGCUAGAGUAUGGUAGGGGUAGAGGGAAUUCCCAGUGUAGCGGUGAAAUGCGUAGAUAUUGGGAAGAACAUCGGUGGCGAAGGCGCUCUGCUGGACCAUAACUGACACUCACAGGACGAAAGCUAGGGGAGCGAAUGGGAUUAGAUACCCUUGUAGUCC